This 733-nucleotide ribosomal RNA is filed under the name Acinetobacter sp. LM_1. RNAcentral describes it as "bacterial SSU rRNA". It matches the Rfam family "Bacterial small subunit ribosomal RNA", at positions 348 to 1072 of the family's 1533-position model. The record is from RNAcentral. Lineage: Bacteria; Pseudomonadati; Pseudomonadota; Gammaproteobacteria; Moraxellales; Moraxellaceae.
GCAGCAGUGGGGAAUAUUGGACAAUGGGGGGAACCCUGAUCCAGCCAUGCCGCGUGUGUGAAGAAGGCCUUAUGGUUGUAAAGCACUUUAAGCGAGGAGGAGGCUACUUUAGUUAAUACCUAGAGAUAGUGGACGUUACUCGCAGAAUAAGCACCGGCUAACUCUGUGCCAGCAGCCGCGGUAAUACAGAGGGUGCGAGCGUUAAUCGGAUUUACUGGGCGUAAAGCGUGCGUAGGCGGCUUAUUAAGUCGGAUGUGAAAUCCCCGAGCUUAACUUGGGAAUUGCAUUCGAUACUGGUGAGCUAGAGUAUGGGAGAGGAUGGUAGAAUUCCAGGUGUAGCGGUGAAAUGCGUAGAGAUCUGGAGGAAUACCGAUGGCGAAGGCAGCCAUCUGGCCUAAUACUGACGCUGAGGUACGAAAGCAUGGGGAGCAAACAGGAUUAGAUACCCUGGUAGUCCAUGCCGUAAACGAUGUCUACUAGCCGUUGGGGCCUUUGAGGCUUUAGUGGCGCAGCUAACGCGAUAAGUAGACCGCCUGGGGAGUACGGUCGCAAGACUAAAACUCAAAUGAAUUGACGGGGGCCCGCACAAGCGGUGGAGCAUGUGGUUUAAUUCGAUGCAACGCGAAGAACCUUACCUGGCCUUGACAUACUAGAAACUUUCCAGAGAUGGAUUGGUGCCUUCGGGAAUCUAGAUACAGGUGCUGCAUGGCUGUCGUCAGCUCGUGUCGUGAGA